AUCAACUUUCGAUGGUAGGAUAGAGGCCUACCAUGGUGGUAACGGGUAACGGGGUGUUAGGGCACGACACCGGAGAGGGAGCCUGAGAAACGGCUACCACAUCCAAGGAUGGCAGCAGGCGCGCAAAUUACCCAAUCCCGACACGGGGAGGUAGUGACAAUAAAUAACAAUACGGGGUUCUUUCGGAUCUCGUAAUUGGAAUGAGUACAAUUUAAAUCUCUUAACGAGGAACAAUUGGAGGGCAAGUCUGGUGCCAGCAGCCGCGGUAAUUCCAGCUCCAAUAGCGUAUAUUAAAGUUGUUGCAGUUAAAAAGCUCGUAGUUGAAUUUCGGGGUUAGUAGGUUGGUCAUGCCUCUGGUAUGUACUGGUCUCACUGAUUCCUCCUUCCUUAUGAACCGUAAUGCCAUUAAUUUGGUGUUGCGGGGAAUUUGGACUGUUACUUUGAAAAAAUUAGAGUGUUUAAAGCAGGCUAACGCUUGAAUACAUUAGCAUGGAAUAAUGAAAUAGGACGUUCGAUCUUAUUUUGUUGGUUUCUAGGAUUGACGUAAUGAUUAAUAGGGAUAGUUGGGGGCAUUAGUAUUCAAUUGUCAGAGGUGAAAUUCUUGGAUUUAUUGAAGACUAACUACUGCGAAAGCAUUUGCCAAGGAUGUUUUCAUUAAUCAAGAACGAAAGUUAGGGGAUCGAAGACGAUCAGAUACCGCCGUAGUCUUAACCAUAAACUAUGCCGACUAGGGAUCGGAUGAUGUUAAUUUUUUAAUGACUCAUCCGGCGCCUUACGGGAAACCAAAGUGUUUGGGUUC
This 799-nucleotide ribosomal RNA is filed under the name uncultured Glomus. Its description in RNAcentral is "SSU rRNA". It matches the Rfam family "Eukaryotic small subunit ribosomal RNA", at positions 314 to 1114 of the family's 1831-position model. The record is from RNAcentral. Lineage: Eukaryota; Fungi; Glomeromycota; Glomeromycetes; Glomerales; Glomeraceae.